This 494-nucleotide ribosomal RNA is filed under the name uncultured bacterium. Its description in RNAcentral is "partial 16S ribosomal RNA". It matches the Rfam family "Bacterial small subunit ribosomal RNA", at positions 28 to 507 of the family's 1533-position model. The record is from RNAcentral.
GACGAACGCUGGCGGCGUGCUUAACACAUGCAAGUCGAACGGUGAAGCGCCUUCCUUUUUGGUGGGUGUGGAUGAGUGGCGAACGGGUGAGUAACACGUGAGUAACCUGCCCCCUUCUUCUGGAUAACCGCAUGAAAGUGUGGCUAAUACGGGAUAUUCUGGGUCUGUCGCAUGAUGGGUCUGGGAAAGAUAUUGUUUCGGUGGGGGAUGGGCUCGCGGCCUAUCAGCUUGUUGGUGGGGUGAUGGGCUACCAAGGCGGUGACGGGUAGCCGGCCUGAGAGGGUGGACGGUCACACUGGGACUGAGACACGGCCCAGACUCCUACGGGAGGCAGCAGUGGGGAAUAUUGCACAAUGGGCGCAAGCCUGAUGCAGCGACGCCGCGUGAGGGAUGGAGGCCUUCGGGUUGUGAACCUCUUUCGCCAGUGAAGCAGGCCUGCCUCGUUUGUGGGUGGGUUGACGGUAGCUGGAGAAGAAGCGCCGGCUAACUACGUG